AUCUUCUGUGAUAGGGUUAUUAUUGCAUGUACAGAGAGAUUCCUUGGAACCGCAUAUGACUCAAUCUAUCUCACUCAGAUUUCUCACCAUACCUUCACUUAUUUUGCUGCAGUGUCCAGCAGAUCUCCUUGAAACACUCCACCAGCCCAUUGGAGAAAAGUUACUGUUCAGUCCCUGAAGGCUUGUGCCAUAAAAGAGUGGGAGACAUUCCCAGGGAAUUUCAGCACCCAUUUGGACUUUCACAAUCAGAGAUGGCAGCGGUAAAGGCAUCAACAUCGAAAGCUACCAGGCCUUGGUAUUCUCAUCCGGUAUAUGCAAGAUACUGGCAACAUUAUCAUCAAGCAAUGGCUUGGAUGCAAAGCCAUCACAAUGCCUACAGGAAGGCCGUGGAAUCCUGUUUCAGUCUUCCAUGGUACUUACCUUCUGCACUUCUUCCCCAAAGCUCUUACGAUAACGAGGCUGCGUAUCCUCAGUCCUUCUAUGACCAUCAUGUGGCCUGGCAGGACUACCCCUGCAGUUCUUCACAUUUCAGAAGAUCUGGCCAGCAUCCGCAUUACAGCAGUAGGAUCCAGGCAUCCACAAAAGAAGACCAAGCUUUGUCCAAAGAGGAAGAAGAGGUGGAGACUGAGUCAGAUGCAGAGGUAGAAUGUGACCUGAGCAAUAUGGAAAUCACUGAAGAGCUCCGCCAGUACUUUGCAGAGACCGAGAGGCAUAGAGAAGAACGACG
Molecule: small RNA, 727 nt
Filed under: Pan troglodytes (chimpanzee)
Lineage: Eukaryota; Metazoa; Chordata; Mammalia; Primates; Hominidae
Description: processed transcript
Source: RNAcentral